GGAGAGGUGGCCGAGUGGUUGAAGGCGCACGCUUGGAAAGCGUGUAUACGGGCAAUCGUAUCAAGGGUUCGAAUCCCUUUCUCUCCG
Molecule: transfer RNA, 87 nt
Filed under: Candidatus Pelagibacterales bacterium
Lineage: Bacteria; Pseudomonadati; Pseudomonadota; Alphaproteobacteria; Candidatus Pelagibacterales
Description: tRNA-Ser
Rfam family: tRNA
About the family: Transfer RNA (tRNA) molecules are approximately 80 nucleotides in length. Their secondary structure includes four short double-helical elements and three loops (D, anti-codon, and T loops).
Source: RNAcentral